This 31-nucleotide non-coding RNA is filed under the name Mus musculus (house mouse). Lineage: Eukaryota; Metazoa; Chordata; Mammalia; Rodentia; Muridae. The record is from RNAcentral.
UCCUAGAUGACCACUUCUCACCCAAGAUCCC